This 583-nucleotide ribosomal RNA is filed under the name uncultured Clostridium sp. RNAcentral describes it as "bacterial SSU rRNA". It matches the Rfam family "Bacterial small subunit ribosomal RNA", at positions 72 to 504 of the family's 1533-position model. Lineage: Bacteria; Bacillati; Bacillota; Clostridia; Eubacteriales; Clostridiaceae. The record is from RNAcentral. RNAcentral also lists the same sequence under 1 other name.
AAGUUGCUUCACCAAAUGUUAAAGUAUACCUCAAGCACACUUUCAGUUAUAAGAAAAAGAGCAAGAGGGAGAGAAAGGUGAAAGCAAGAGAAAGCAGAAGCAAGAAACAAAUGUGCUUCACGCUCAUAUAGCUUGCCAACACACUUAUAGAAAAUAAGAAAUUUUAGUGUUUGGUGAAGUAACUUACUUAGUGGCGGACGGGUGAGUAACGCGUGAACAAUCUGCCCUAUACAGAGGAAUAGCCUCGGGAAACCGGGAUUAAAACCGCAUAAAACUAUAGUAUCGCAUGAUACAUUAGUCAAAUUGAUUAAGAGGUAUAGGAUGAGUUCGCGUCUGAUUAGCUAGUUGGUGGGGUAAAGGCCUACCAAGGCGACGAUCAGUAGCCGGCCUGAGAGGGUGAACGGCCACACUGGAACUGAGACACGGUCCAGACUCCUACGGGAGGCAGCAGUGGGGAAUAUUGCACAAUGGAGGAAACUCUGAUGCAGCGACGCCGCGUGAGUGAAGAAGGUCUUCGGAUCGUAAAACUCUGUCCUUGGUGAAGAUAAUGACGGUAGCCAAGGAGGAAGCCCCGGCUAACUAC